GGGUGUUCGCCAUUAAUGGCGGCAGGUUUUGUAGCAUCGGUCGGGCCGCCGUUG
RNAcentral lists this non-coding RNA (54 nucleotides) under Novosphingobium sp. ST904. RNAcentral's name for it is "nhaA-I RNA". It matches the Rfam family "nhaA-I RNA". Rfam says of the family: Acidobacteria, Alphaproteobacteria, Betaproteobacteria and Gammaproteobacteria, Verrucomicrobia, cand. division NC10. Downstream gene Lineage: Bacteria; Pseudomonadati; Pseudomonadota; Alphaproteobacteria; Sphingomonadales; Sphingomonadaceae. The record is from Rfam by way of RNAcentral. RNAcentral also lists the same sequence under 1 other name.